Molecule: long non-coding RNA, 720 nt
Organism: Rattus norvegicus (Norway rat)
Lineage: Eukaryota; Metazoa; Chordata; Mammalia; Rodentia; Muridae
Source: RefSeq, a predicted model, not a curated record
GGCGAUGCGGCCCCUCCCACCUGAGGCUGUGGAAGCGACGUGUCUGGGGUGCAGACAGGACUAAAAUCUUUUAGGACAAAAAGAAACCGAUUGUGGUAAAUCCUCUGGACAACGCCGGGUCCUCGGAAGCGGUGCGACUCACUGGGCAGGUGCCAGGAUUGUUGUUCUGGAAACAGUAGGACCAAAAAGCUAUGCUAGAUAUGACUGGACAUCCCAGCAGCACAGCCACACUGGCAAACACAGCAACACAGAAGCAAAGCAUGAGUGGGAAGGUCUGAAGAAGAGUCUCCAGAGCAAGAGGAGACAAAGCAAGAUGUCAUAAACUAUAAGAUGUUUGUGGCUGGGCUGGAGAGAUGGCUCAGCGGUUAAGAGCACUGACUGACUACUCUUCCAGAGGUCCUGAGUUCAAUUCCCAGCAACCACAUGGUGGCUCACAACCAUCUGUAAUGAGAUCUGAUGCCCUCUUCUGGUGUGUCUGAAGACAGUUAUAGUGUACUUAUAUAUAAUAAAUAAAUCUUAAAAAAAGAAACAUAUUAAGAUGCAUAUGGCUAGUGAGACUGGCCAUGUUGGUGAGUUCCAGGUUUGAUUUAGAGACCCUGUCUCAGUGAGCAGGUGGAAGUGAUGAUUCCCUGCACCGACUUGAGCUGCACACAUGUGUUCCGUACACAUGUACAUGGCAAACUACUUCAGUGAACCCCAUACCGAAAUGUGCAAAUUAAA